UGAGUAACCUGCCCUUAACUCUGGGAUAAGCCUGGGAAACUGGGUCUAAUACCGGAUAUGACUCCUCAUCGCAUGGUGGGGGGUGGAAAGCUUUAUUGUGGUUUUGGAUGGACUCGCGGCCUAUCAGCUUGCUGGUGAGGUAAUGGCUCACCAAGGCGACGACGGGUAGCCGGCCUGAGAGGGUGACCGGCCACACUGGGACUGAGACACGGCCCAGACUCCUACGGGAGGCAG
RNAcentral lists this ribosomal RNA (234 nucleotides) under uncultured bacterium. RNAcentral's name for it is "partial 16S ribosomal RNA". It matches the Rfam family "Bacterial small subunit ribosomal RNA", at positions 118 to 351 of the family's 1533-position model. The record is from RNAcentral.